RNAcentral lists this long non-coding RNA (410 nucleotides) under Homo sapiens (human). Its description in RNAcentral is "long intergenic non-protein coding RNA 1676". Lineage: Eukaryota; Metazoa; Chordata; Mammalia; Primates; Hominidae. The record is from RNAcentral.
GGUUGGGUUGAGACACAUUCAGUAGCUGAGUGAUUGACAGCAAGAGGAGCAAGACAUGAGGUUAAUAAUUAUCAAAUAUAUGGCAAUGCUGGACUUUAGCUGAUCAUCGUGCUUCUGGAAAACAACAAAAAUUGAGAUAUCUGUUCACCACUUUGUGUGUCCAAGGACCACCUACUUUUUACAUGUGACAAGAACUACCCACCUCCACUCUUCAGGAUAGAACAUGCUGAAGAAAAGAGUUGCAAUGAGAAAAUAUAUGGGAACAAAAUACCUAUGCAAUGCAGAAGUCUGCAUAACUGAACCACUCAGAGGAAAAAGAUUGCCAUUUCAGGACACCUCCUACAUCUGAGGAAAUAUGCAUUGAUCUUGCAGUACUUUUCUCCUCCAAAUAAAAGUCAGUAUGAUAACAA